Long non-coding RNA from Leptinotarsa decemlineata (Colorado potato beetle), 176 nucleotides. The record is from RefSeq and is a predicted model, not a curated record. NCBI's taxonomy places the organism in Eukaryota, Metazoa, Arthropoda, Insecta, Coleoptera, Chrysomelidae.
AUAAAACGUUGUUGACUUGAGUUCACACCAGUCCAAAACUUCAAACUAACGCAGUUCAAGAUGUUGAAGGUUAUCUUCUUGUUUUGUUUCGUUUGUAUCGCGAUAUCUCUUCAGGCAGAUAUCAGGGACUACACCAAAGACAGUUUGUAUCCCUGCGUCCAGUGCCUGUGCCAUGC